GAACGCUGGCGGUAGGCCUAACACAUGCAAGUCGAACGGCCGCACAGUAAGGGCUUGCUCUUACGGGUGGCGAGUGGCGGACGGGUGAGGAAUACAUCGGAAUCUACUUUUUCGUGGGGGAUAACGUAGGGAAACUUACGCUAAUACCGCAUACGACCUACGGGUGAAAGCAGGGGAUCUUCGGACCUUGCGCGAUUGAAUGAGCCGAUGUCGGAUUAGCUAGUUGGCGGGGUAAAGGCCCACCAAGGCGACGAUCCGUAGCUGGUCUGAGAGGAUGAUCAGCCACACUGGAACUGAGACACGGUCCAGACUCCUACGGGAGGCAGCAGUGGGGAAUAUUGGACAAUGGGCGCAAGCCUGAUCCAGCCAUACCGCGUGGGUGAAGAAGGCCUCCGGGUUGUAAAGCCCUUUUGUUGGGAAAGAAAAGCAGUAGGUUAAUACCCCGCUGUUCUGACGGUACCCAAAGAAUAAGCACCGGCUAACUUCGUG
This 489-nucleotide ribosomal RNA is filed under the name uncultured bacterium. RNAcentral describes it as "partial 16S ribosomal RNA". It matches the Rfam family "Bacterial small subunit ribosomal RNA", at positions 31 to 507 of the family's 1533-position model. The record is from RNAcentral.